Long non-coding RNA from Sparus aurata (gilthead seabream), 1584 nucleotides. NCBI's taxonomy places the organism in Eukaryota, Metazoa, Chordata, Actinopteri, Spariformes, Sparidae. The record is from Ensembl.
AUGCAAGACUGCAGAUGCUGUGGUCCGUUGCCUGGACUGUGUUCCCUCAGGAACUCAGUUUCUCUGUCCUGCUUGUGACCUCAAGGUCCACAAAAAGCACGUGUUACAUGACAGAGAAGUCAUGAUUUAUGGUUUUUUCAAACCUAUUCCUCCGACAUCCUCAGUGGUGAUCGACCAAAGUGGGCAACAUCAACUUGCUGAACAAGUUUGCGUGCUUCCGAUUCCUCCACCACUGCAAGUCUGCUCCUGCAGCACAGACCAAGACUUCACCAUUGUCCCUGGCAAACACACUGUCUUGGUGACUAUCAAUGGCCCGUACAACUUGUGCCUGCCUGUUGUGUGUUGCCCACUUUGCAACUACAAGUGGACCCCAGGAUUAAAUGACCUGCUUGGAUGCCGAUACUGGCCAGCAACCACCAGCUGCCAGCUCCUUUUUAAGUUUGAUGUCUUCACAUCAUUUGAGGAGAUGAAGUUGGCUAGCCCAGCAUUGUCCCAACAAGCGUUCCUGAGAAUGCUUGAGCACAGAUCCCAAAGCACAGGACGGAUGGGUAGUAUUUGUGGUGAUUCCUUCCACAGAGCCUUUCAGGAAUUUGCCUUCUGCAAUUUUAAGAAGGAUGAUCUGUGCCAGGUGGAGCCAUUUGUAUGUCCAGCAUGCACACCAGACAUGCUGGCCAUAUCAGCAGAUGGUAACAGGAAACAUUAUCGUUUCAAGAAGUCCAAAGGGACAGAUGAACCAUCUCUUUUUGAUGGACUCUUCAUUGCAGAGGAUGUAAAGGUGUCGGCCUUUGUUGACAAAAUCCGAAGCCUGAUGACAGUUGUAAGGAUGUUUUUAACGAUCUAAUUCUUCUUUAAUUUUUGUCCCAGUAUUACGUGUAACACAUUGUAUCUAAUUUCAGAGCACUGGUCAUGAUGUUUGUGGGCCGGCAACAUUUACGGCAGCCAGAGAAACAUCACGCAAAUCACGAGCAAAGGUGGAUGAGGAGGGGCUCGAAAUCGCUGUGUGCCGCCAUGGAACGUUGCUACAAGGCCUGAACCACUACCGUGGGGAAAUAUAUGCAUAUCCGCUGUUCUUGCAGAAAGAAUUGUCUGAAAAGGCAAACGUGACGUUCUUUUGUAUGGACAUCACUUGCAGGUAGUCACAACCGUUGCCUCAUCAUAACUCUAUAUUUUCCGCAGGUGUGGCCAUUACUACUGAGUUCUUAUUGCAUGGGUUAUCAAAGCUCUGUUACACUGGUCAGACCACACUCAUUUUGUGGUGAAAAAAAAUUUCAUCAGACGUAUGAACACGCAGAUUCAAGUUGAAAACACUACCAAUACCAACCUUUUCACUCCAAGUCCUGCUUUGUGUCCUUACCAUUAUGAACCUCAAAUGCUGUGUUGUUUUUUCUAUUACAGAUAUUGGCCAUACCUGACAAAAAUGGCAGAGAAGUUGCCAGAGCUCCAGCCUCUUGUAGACAUGAAGCCAUUUCUCUCAGUAAUGCAUGCCAAGGCUCACACUGGCAAAUGUGAGGUACAGUGGCAAGUUAAAUGUUUGUAUCACAACACUGAUUUUAAUUCUCUUACCUCUUCUCUUCCACUAGAAAU